This is a long non-coding RNA of Drosophila santomea, 993 nucleotides long. RefSeq lists it as uncharacterized. The record is from RefSeq and is a predicted model, not a curated record. The transcript has 3 exons. Lineage: Eukaryota; Metazoa; Arthropoda; Insecta; Diptera; Drosophilidae.
UAUUAAAUGUCACACGAGCACAUAAGCAGCAGAUUAAUUACGGUAAUCUAAGUUCAAUUGAAAAUCCCCACAUGUAAUCUGCGUCAGUUGCUAAUUAAGCCAGAACAAGAUCAUGUGUACAAGAGAGAGAGAUACAAAAAAGAGAGGUACGUUUGCCAUUCUAAAAUGAUUGAUUCGACAGAAACCCUUUGCCACUCCACCACUGUGUAAGUUAUGCUCUCAGUUAUCAAAUGGAAAUCAUCCUACUGGCAGGUUAUAAAUUCACGAAAAUCCCACGACGCCAAUGUCAAUAUUUAUGAAUGCUCCGGGGGAAUUUCGCAGUCAAGGGUAACAUUUUGUCAAGACUCCCCACAUAAUUCGGCGGUUUCAAGGGGCGUUUUAAAAAAAUUGCAAACAUUUGCCAGAUGAUGUUUUCGUUUUUUUUCACUAUGCAUUCGCAUUCGCCAAGUGAAAAGUUUUCAACGAGCCGUAAUUUAAGCUAGCAACCAUCUGAACGCAUACUGAAUAAAUAUGCUACGGGUAUAAAAAUAAAAGUUGGCCAAAACACAUACCUACGCAAAAGUUUACCGUGGAGAUUGGCCAGUUAUGUAUGGGACUAUUAGUUGAAACAAUGUGAUAAAGGGAUUAUAUAGGAUUAGGAGCAUGUUUAGACAGUAAUCAACCCGAAACCACUGUGCCAUUGUGUCACUCCAUGAAAUGCAAAUCCCAAUGACGGUAUAUUUAUGAUAAAUGUGCGAAAGAGAGGCGAUACGAGCAGCCGAAAGAGAUAGAGAGACAGUCGUCCGAAAGCGCUCGUGUUUUUUCUAUCUCACUUACAUCUACCCCAAAAAUUGUUGAGCGGAAUAUGGCACAUACAUAUAUGUAUAUAUAUUUUUAUAGCCUCCACAAACAUACUGUAGAAAUUAAAUUUCGUUUUUACUGUGCAAACAUUAGAUAAUCAUCAUCACCAUCACCAUCGUCAUCUGCAUCUGAGUGGGCGUAUUUAUGCGAGGA